Molecule: ribosomal RNA, 539 nt
Filed under: uncultured bacterium
Lineage: Bacteria
Description: bacterial SSU rRNA
Rfam family: Bacterial small subunit ribosomal RNA
Source: RNAcentral
GUACACACGGAUAACAUACCGAAAGGUAUGCUAAUACGAGAUAAAAUGUAAUGAUCGCAUGGUCGAUACAUCAAAGCUCCGGCGGUACAGGAUGGACCCGCGUCUGAUUAGCUAGUUGGUGAGGUAAUGGCUCACCAAGGCGACGAUCAGUAGCCGACCUGAGAGGGUGAUCGGCCACAUUGGAACUGAGACACGGUCCGAACUCAUACGGGAGGCAGCAGUAGGGAAUAUUAGAAAUGGACGAAAGUCUGAUCUAGCGACACCGCGUGUGCGAAGAAGGCCUUCGGGUUGUAAAGCACUUUUUGGAAGGAAUAGGAAGGAAGGUACUUCCAGAAUAAGUCUCGGCUAACUACGUGCCAGCAGCCGCGGUAACACGUAGGAGGCAAACGUUAUCCGGGGUGUACUGGGCGUAAAGCGCGUGUAGGUGGUUCUGUAAGUAGGGCGUGAAAGCUCCCGGCUCAACUGGGAGAGGCCGUUCUAAACUGCAGAGCUAGAGAUGGUAGAGGAGGUGGAUUUCCAGGUGUAGCGGUGGAAUGCGC